This 456-nucleotide ribosomal RNA is filed under the name uncultured Methanosaeta sp. RNAcentral describes it as "bacterial SSU rRNA". It matches the Rfam family "Archaeal small subunit ribosomal RNA", at positions 881 to 1338 of the family's 1478-position model. Lineage: Archaea; Methanobacteriati; Methanobacteriota; Methanomicrobia; Methanotrichales; Methanotrichaceae. The record is from RNAcentral.
ACAACGGGUGGAGCUUGCGUUUAAUUGGAUUCAACGCCGGAAAUCUUACCGGGACCGACAGCAAUAUGAAGGCCAGGCUGAAGACUUUGCCGGAUUAGCUGAGAGGUGGUGCAUGGCCGUCGUCAGUUCGUACUGUGAAGCAUCCUGUUAAGUCAGGCAACGAGCGAGACCCACGCCCACAGUUGCCAGCGUACUCUCUGGAGUGACGGGUACACUGUGGGGACCGCCGCUGCUAAAGCGGAGGAGGAAUGGGCAACGGUAGGUCAGUAUGCCCCGAAUAUCCCGGGCUACACGCGAGCUACAAUGGUUGGUACAAUGGGUAUCUACCCCGAAAGGGGACGGGAAUCUCCUAAAACCAAUCUUAGUUCGGAUUGAGGGCUGCAACUCGCCCUCAUGAAGCUGGAAUCCGUAGUAAUCGCGUUUCAACAGAACGCGGUGAAUACGUCCCUGCUCCUU